Long non-coding RNA from Dermochelys coriacea (leatherback sea turtle), 312 nucleotides. RefSeq lists it as uncharacterized. NCBI's taxonomy places the organism in Eukaryota, Metazoa, Chordata, Testudines, Dermochelyidae. The transcript is spliced from 2 exons. The record is from RefSeq and is a predicted model, not a curated record.
CCAUGUUAGUCUGUAUUCACAAAAAGAAAAGGAGUACUUACCAAACAUGAAUCCAGCCUUGGUCUUAGCACUUGAAGGGGCUGGGAUUUGCAGUAGUGCUGGGGGAUGCAAAAGGAUACAAGAAGGGUGGGCCCUAAUGAGCUUACGCAGCUGGAUAGAUACCUUGACAGAGCUAUGCAGCUUUCUCCUACUUUUUUUUAAACUAUAAAUAAGGUUUUGUAAAUCUGAGAUUAUAAAAACUUGUUAUGAACAGAAUAGUUUUUAUUACACUGAUUUUUAAAUUUUCAAUUAAAAGCUUUUUUUUUUUUAAGG